AGAGUUUGAUCAUGGCUCAGAUUGAACGCUGGCGGCAGGCCUAACACAUGCAAGUCGAGCGGUAGCACAGAGAGCUUGCUCUCGGGUGACGAGCGGCGGACGGGUGAGUAAUGUCUGGGAAACUGCCUGAUGGAGGGGGAUAACUACUGGAAACGGUAGCUAAUACCGCAUAAUGUCGCAAGACCAAAGUGGGGGACCUUCUGGCCUCAUGCCAUCAGAUGUGCCCAGAUGGGAUUAGCUAGUAGGUGGGGUAACGGCUCACCUAGGCGACGAUCCCUAGCUGGUCUGAGAGGAUGACCAGCCACACUGGAACUGAGACACGGUCCAGACUCCUACGGGAGGCAGCAGUGGGGAAUAUUGCACAAUGGGCGCAAGCCUGAUGCAGCCAUGCCGCGUGUGUGAAGAAGGCCUUCGGGUUGUAAAGCACUUUCAGCGGGGAGGAAGGCGUUAAGGUUAAUAACCUUGUCGAUUGACGUUACCCGCAGAAGAAGCACCGGCUAACUCCGUGCCAGCAGCCGCGGUAAUACGGAGGGUGCAAGCGUUAAUCGGAAUUACUGGGCGUAAAGCGCACGCAGGCGGUCUGUCAAGUCGGAUGUGAAAUCCCCGGGCUCAACCUGGGAACUGCAUUCGAAACUGGCAGGCUAGAGUCUUGUAGAGGGGGGUAGAAUUCCAGGUGUAGCGGUGAAAUGCGUAGAGAUCUGGAGGAAUACCGGUGGCGAAGGCGGCCCCCUGGACAAAGACUGACGCUCAGGUGCGAAAGCGUGGGGAGCAAACAGGAUUAGAUACCCUGGUAGUCCACGCCGUAAACGAUGUCGAUUUGGAGGUUGUGCCCUUGAGGCGUGGCUUCCGGAGCUAACGCGUUAAAUCGACCGCCUGGGGAGUACGGCCGCAAGGUUAAAACUCAAAUGAAUUGACGGGGGCCCGCACAAGCGGUGGAGCAUGUGGUUUAAUUCGAUGCAACGCGAAGAACCUUACCUGGUCUUGACAUCCACAGAACUUUCCAGAGAUGGAUUGGUGCCUUCGGGAACUGUGAGACAGGUGCUGCAUGGCUGUCGUCAGCUCGUGUUGUGAAAUGUUGGGUUAAGUCCCGCAACGAGCGCAACCCUUAUCCUUUGUUGCCAGCGGUCCGGCCGGGAACUCAAAGGAGACUGCCAGUGAUAAACUGGAGGAAGGUGGGGAUGACGUCAAGUCAUCAUGGCCCUUACGACCAGGGCUACACACGUGCUACAAUGGCAUAUACAAAGAGAAGCGACCUCGCGAGAGCAAGCGGACCUCAUAAAGUAUGUCGUAGUCCGGAUUGGAGUCUGCAACUCGACUCCAUGAAGUCGGAAUCGCUAGUAAUCGUAGAUCAGAAUGCUACGGUGAAUACGUUCCCGGGCCUUGUACACACCGCCCGUCACACCAUGGGAGUGGGUUGCAAAAGAAGUAGGUAGCUUAACCUUCGGGAGGGCGCUUACCACUUUGUGAUUCAUGACUGGGGUGAAGUCGUAACAAGGUAACCGUAGGGGAACCUGCGGUUGGAUCACCU
RNAcentral lists this ribosomal RNA (1528 nucleotides) under Klebsiella pneumoniae. Its description in RNAcentral is "bacterial SSU rRNA". It matches the Rfam family "Bacterial small subunit ribosomal RNA". The record is from RNAcentral. Lineage: Bacteria; Pseudomonadati; Pseudomonadota; Gammaproteobacteria; Enterobacterales; Enterobacteriaceae.